GUAACAACAAUGGGAUCGAAAGUGUCUAUGUGAAACUCGAGAUGAAUGUACGUCAUUCUCUCCAUUUUCAAGCAAGGAGGCAGCAAUGAUCAUAUUUGUUGAUACACGGUAAUAACUGUAAUCUGAAGUGUUUAAACACGAGUCAUAUAGUAUAGCAAUCAUGUAUCUGGCUGUAUCGCGUACCCUGUGUAUGGUAUUGUCCCGACAGACUACGGGGGCAAGGGCGGAGCCAAAAAAGAAGAAAGUGGACCCUCGUAAAGAACACUAUUAGUGCAAUCCAAAUUCAUUGCUCUGUCCUAAUGUACACCUGAACAGUUCCUUACUCUAUUUGUUCAUUUCCUCUAGGGUGUGCUGUGUUCCUCAGCUUCCCUUUGAGGAGAGUGAAUAACAGGCUCUACUGCUGAAGGAGUGGUCCUGCUACAAACAGUUAUGUGAUCUUGUAAGCCAAUGUUGGCCGAAGCUUCAUCACCACAGCCCCGUUAAAGAUCCUUAUUUAGAAGCAAAAAAACAAUGAGCAGACAAUUUACUGUACCUUCUUUGCAGACAUUUUGUUAUAACCAAUUCCUGUGCCACAUUCGAAUUUCUUCCCACCCUGCCCCUCUAUGAGCAGACCCAGCACCGGGUUGAGAUGGAGGCAGUAAGUCUGGCUGUGGAGGCCAAGUGGGAUGCUCUGGAGGAGCUGAGGCUGGAGUGAGAGGAGCUCUACAAGGCAUCACUGAGGCCAAACCCCCUGCUAUUCCCUUUCAACCACCAGGGAUUCAGCUUCACGAGGCACCUGAGAGCAAAUGCAACAUCAAAGUUCACACCCAGUGAGUGUAACACAUUGUGGGCGUAAUACGUGUUGACAUGGAUGUUCAUCCAUGUUUUCACAUGAUUUGAACGGACAGACAAAAUAUUUGACGAGGAUGUUCAUGAAAGAAGAUGAGACAUUAAAGCUUGCUCAGAACAAUGGCCCGGGCACCAUUAGUGGGUGUAUGUCUCAUUCAAAGUAAGGGUCAUUUAACUGCUUUACUGACCAUGACCUAUUCAUCGUAUUGACAACUGCCCUAGCAUGGAUAUAGAAGUUUCUAUUCACACUCAUGAAGUGAUUCACAUUCUGUAGUGUGUGUGCUCUGUAAUGUUACAUUCAUAGAUCUCAUAGGUUUAAAUACAGUCUGUAAGUAAAACAUACCAGGGGGUUAAAAUAAAGAAUUCACAUUUGUUUUAUUUGAAA
Molecule: long non-coding RNA, 1213 nt
Organism: Oncorhynchus masou masou (cherry salmon)
Lineage: Eukaryota; Metazoa; Chordata; Actinopteri; Salmoniformes; Salmonidae
Exons: 2
Source: RefSeq, a predicted model, not a curated record